Molecule: long non-coding RNA, 1019 nt
Filed under: Manihot esculenta (cassava)
Lineage: Eukaryota; Viridiplantae; Streptophyta; Magnoliopsida; Malpighiales; Euphorbiaceae
Description: long non-coding RNA (MESC_LNC009160)
Source: RNAcentral
CCCUAUAUCCACUACCAACAUAAACACAUCCAUCCCUCACAGGCACGCCCCCAUAUAUUGAAGCUCCAGUUUCAUGUGACCAAAGGAUUCUACCAGUUCUUGCAUUUAUUGCAUACAAUGGUCCACGACCUGAUCUCGAACCACCAAACAAGACACCGUUAGCUAUGGUUACUGGGCCACUAGCUGUUCCAUUGCUUGGAUCACCUGUUGACCAUAGGAUUUUACCAUUGUUAAGCCAUCUCCCACGCUGCGCCAAUUUCCAUUUUGGCAUUGGAGAUAACCCUCCAACGCUGCGCCAAAAUCCAACGGGAUUUUGGCAUUCGCUACAGUGUUACGCCAAAUAUGGCAUGACAAUGUAGCAGCGCUAUUUUCUUUUUUUUUUUUUUUUUAAUUUAUAAUAUAAUUUAAAAUUUAUAUCUUUUUCUAUUUUUUUAAAUUAUAAUAUAAUUCAAAAUUUAUAUAUAUUUUCAAUUAAGUUUAAUUUUUUUUACUCUUAUAAUUUAUUUAAUAUUUUUAUAAUUAUUGAAAUUUAAUUUAAAUUAAUAUAUUCACAAUUAUAAAUAAUGUAUGUUUAUAAUUAAUGUUUAAGUAAUAUUUUUUUUAUAAUUAUUAUUUAAUUAAUAUAUUUUUAUAAUUAAUAUGUUUUUUUUGUUUAUUUAUAAAAUAAUUAAAUAUUUGAAUAUUGGAUGAAAAUAUAAAAUAUAUAAAUAUUUAAAGUGAAUAUAUAAAAUUAUAUGAAUUUUUUGAGUGAAAUAUAUAAAUAAAAUUAAAGUAAAAUAAAUAAUAUAAUAUUAAAGAGAGAGAAGAAUAUAAAUAGAAUAUUUUUUUUGGUGUUAAAAUUGGUGCAGAAGGUUGGAGAUAAUAUUGCACCAUUUUAGUGCAGAGCACUAAAAUAGUGCAAAAAAUGGUGCAUAGGGUUGGAAAUGGCCUUAGCCUUCAUUGCCACCCAUCCUCUAGCUCUUGUCUUUGCUUUUGAUGGCUUCAAAAUGAAGAUUUUUCUUUCAGAGUUUGCUAUGUUG